This is a ribosomal RNA of Lepisosteus oculatus (spotted gar), 119 nucleotides long. NCBI's taxonomy places the organism in Eukaryota, Metazoa, Chordata, Actinopteri, Semionotiformes, Lepisosteidae. The record is from Rfam.
GCCAGCAGCCAUGUCACCCUGCAACUUACAAUUGGCAGUCCACUGAAGCUAAGCAGGUGUGAGCCUGGUCAGUACCUGGAUGGGAGACCUACUGGGAAAAACUAAUGUUGCUGCUGGAA